This 468-nucleotide ribosomal RNA is filed under the name uncultured bacterium. Its description in RNAcentral is "partial 16S ribosomal RNA". It matches the Rfam family "Bacterial small subunit ribosomal RNA", at positions 28 to 507 of the family's 1533-position model. The record is from RNAcentral.
GACGAACGCUGGCGGCGUGCUUAACACAUGCAAGUCGAACGGAAAGGCCCUGCUUUUGUGGGGUUCUCGAGUGGCGAACGGGUGAGUAACACGUGAGUAACCUGCCCUUGACUUUGGGAUAACUUCAGGAAACUGGGGCUAAUACCGCAUAGGAGCUCCUGCUGCAUGGUGGGGGUUGGAAAGUUUCGGCGGUUGGGGAUGGACUCGCGGCUUAUCAGCUUGUUGGUGGGGUAGUGGCUUACCAAGGCUUUGACGGGUAGCCGGCCUGAGAGGGUGACCGGGCACAUUGGGACUGAGAUACGGACCAGACUCCUACGGGAGGCAGCAGUGGGGAAUAUUGCACAAUGGGCGGAAGCCUGAGGCAGCAACGCCGCGUGCGGGAUGACGGCCUUCGGGUUGUAAACCGCUGUCGCCUGUGACGAAGCGUGAGUGACGGUAAUGGGUAAAGAAGCACCGGCUAACUACGUG